AACGAACGCUGGCGGCAGGCCUAACACAUGCAAGUCGAGCGAGGACUUCGGUCCUAGCGGCGGACGGGUGAGUAACGCGUGGGAACGUGCCCUUUGCUUCGGAAUAGCCCUGGGAAACUGGGAGUAAUACCGGAUGAGCCCUUUGGGGGAAAGAUUUAUCGGCGAAGGAUCGGCCCGCGUUGGAUUAGGUAGUUGGUGGGGUAAUGGCCUACCAAGCCGACGAUCCAUAGCUGGUAUGAGAGGAUGAUCAGCCACACUGGGAAUGAGACACGGCCCAGACUCCUACGGGAGGCAGCAGUGGGGAAUCUUAGACAAUGGGGGAAACCCUGAUCUAGCCAUGCCGCGUGAGCGAUGAAGGCCUUAGGGUUGUAAAGCUCUUUCAGCUGGGAAGAUAAUGACGGUACCAGCAGAAGAAGCCCCGGCUAACUCCGUG
This 433-nucleotide ribosomal RNA is filed under the name uncultured bacterium. RNAcentral describes it as "partial 16S ribosomal RNA". It matches the Rfam family "Bacterial small subunit ribosomal RNA", at positions 29 to 507 of the family's 1533-position model. The record is from RNAcentral.